AGUGAUCAUCCACUAGGACUCCAAGGCUAAAUAACCUCAAACUGAGUUAAAUUGAAAUUGAGAAUAAACUCAAGUCUGUUGAAGUCCACUCAUAAGAUCUCAAAAACAUGACAACUGGAGCGUUGGGAGAGGUGGUGAAGGCCUUUUCCUGCUUUGCUUGCUUCCCAAUUAUAGGAUGUACUUUUUUAUGAAUUGUGCUUGACCAGCAGCUCUCUCUGACUUUAGAAGAUCAUUAAUAUGCUUAUCUUUGGCCAAAACCUAUUAAUUACAUUGACUCUUGCUUCAUUGAAUUAAGGAAAAUAUAUUUACAAAUGCAAGGUAAAGUUAAGGAAAGCAUAUUACGGUUGCGCAUGAGGUAUGAUGGCUUCAUUGAACCAUGUUCAGCUUAGUUUAGAUUAAUUUCUGAUCAUGCACCUGCCAUCUUAACUUUUCCAGGACCACCACCAUGCAAAUGCCCUCCAUGGCUGCUCCUGAAGUCUUUAGAAGACUCCUUUCAUUCAAACCACAGUAGCUCAAUUAUUUUUAUGCCCAAUUCAUACUGCUUCAGGUGACAAAAAGUUAUGGUCUAGGACAAAUGGAGAAAGGAGAGCCUCUUUCCAUAUAUGUCUGAGAUUUUUAGGAAGAGCUUCUUCUGAACACCACUGCAUGCUGAAGUAGUACAGUAGCUUCUUUAGGAGGAGAGAACUUUUCAUUGAUCGUCUUGUGUUCCUUUUUCUCAGCUGUAAAACAUGCUCUAUAAGAAAUGUCUGCUAUCCCAAUUUUGUUAUCUUUGGGGUACUAGGCAAAUUCCCUUUUUAUCCUCUAAGACAGGGUUGCCAAACUCGCAUCAUCAUGGCAGUGUCACGUGAUGUAUCAGGACGUUUUUCCUCUUUGCUAAAUCAGGUGUGGCCAGCAUGUGACACAUCCGGCCUGUGGGCCACGAGCCCUGCUCUAAGACGUCAUCAUUGUUCUGAUGUAGCAUAUCUCCCUCAUAUAUUAGGAUUUUUCUGGUGGUGCUUGUUUUAAUCUCUGCUGAUUUUAAAUUGCUUUGUUAAUUGAUUUAUUAUUUCACUUUAUGCAUAGGGGAUGUGUUUGUGUUUCAUUAUGCAUUGCCCGUAAUGAUAUCCAGGAAUUUU
Pseudonaja textilis is the source of this 1115-nucleotide non-coding RNA. Lineage: Eukaryota; Metazoa; Chordata; Lepidosauria; Squamata; Elapidae. The record is from RefSeq and is a predicted model, not a curated record.